UGAGGAACAUGACCUUCGGCGGGGGAGUAGCCGGCCCAACGGCCGGGUAAUACCGCGUACGACCACAUGGGGACGAUCCCUGAGUGGUGAAAGCAGCAAUGCGCCGAUGGAGUGCCUCGCGGCCUAUCAGCUAGUUGGUGAGGUAAUGGCUCACCAAGGCGACGACGGGUAGCUGGUCUGAGAGGAUGAUCAGCCACAUUGGGACUGAGACACGGCCCAGACUCCG
RNAcentral lists this ribosomal RNA (226 nucleotides) under uncultured bacterium. RNAcentral describes it as "partial 16S ribosomal RNA". It matches the Rfam family "Bacterial small subunit ribosomal RNA", at positions 118 to 340 of the family's 1533-position model. The record is from RNAcentral.